GAUGAACGCUGGCGGCGUGCCUAAUACAUGCAAGUCGAGCGAACAGAUGAGGAGCUUGCUCCUCUGACGUUAGCGGCGGACGGGUGAGUAACACGUGGAUAACCUACCUAUAAGACUGGGAUAACUUCGGGAAACCGGAGCUAAUACCGGAUAAUAUAUUGAACCGCAUGGUUCAAUAGUGAAAGACGGUUUUGCUGUCACUGAUAGAUGGAUCUGCGCCGCAUUAGCUAGUUGGUAAGGUAACGGCUUACCAAGGCAACGAUGCGUAGCCGACCUGAGAGGGUGAUCGGCCACACUAGAACUGAGACACGGUCCAGACUCCUACGAGAGGCAGCAGUAGGGAAUCUUCCGCAAUGGGCGAAAGCCUGCCGGAGCAACGCCGCGUGAGUGAUGAAGGUCUUCGGAUCGUAAAACUCUGUUAUUAGGGAAGAACAAAUGUGUAAGUAACUAUGCACGUCUUGACGGUACCUAAUCAGAAAGCCACGGCUAACUACGUG
RNAcentral lists this ribosomal RNA (497 nucleotides) under uncultured bacterium. RNAcentral's name for it is "partial 16S ribosomal RNA". It matches the Rfam family "Bacterial small subunit ribosomal RNA", at positions 28 to 507 of the family's 1533-position model. The record is from RNAcentral.